Molecule: ribosomal RNA, 460 nt
Filed under: uncultured Bacteroidota bacterium
Lineage: Bacteria; Pseudomonadati; Bacteroidota
Description: uncultured Bacteroidetes bacterium partial 16S ribosomal RNA
Source: RNAcentral
GACUACUAGGGUAUCUAAUCCUGUUCGCUACCCACGCUUUCGUGCCUCAGCGUCAAUCAAGGCCCAGUUAGCUGCCUUCGCAAUUGGUGUUCCAUGACAUAUCUAUGCAUUUCACCGCUACAUGUCACAUUCCGCUAACCUCAACCCAAUUCAAGAAAAUCAGUAUCAAUGGCAGUUCUAUCGUUAAGCGACAGGAUUUCACCACUGACUUAAUUCUCCGCCUACGCACCCUUUAAACCCAGUGAUUCCGGAUAACGCUUGCACCCUCCGUAUUACCGCGGCUGCUGGCACGGAGUUAGCCGGUGCUUAUUCCGCAGAUACCGUCACUCCAUCAUAAAUGAUGGGUCUUCGUCUCUGCUAAAAGCAGUUUACAAUCCAUAGGACCUUCAUCCUGCACGCGGGAUGGCUGGUUCAGACUUUCGUCCAUUGACCAAUAUUCCUUACUGCAGCCGCCCGUAGG